RNAcentral lists this ribosomal RNA (492 nucleotides) under uncultured bacterium. RNAcentral's name for it is "partial 16S ribosomal RNA". It matches the Rfam family "Bacterial small subunit ribosomal RNA", at positions 28 to 507 of the family's 1533-position model. The record is from RNAcentral.
GAUGAACGCUAGCUACAGGCUUAACACAUGCAAGUCGAGGGGAAACGGCAUCGAAAGCUUGCUUUUGAUGGGCGUCGACCGGCGCACGGGUGAGUAACGCGUAUCCAACCUGCCCAUCACUUGGAAAUAACCUUGCGAAAGUAAGACUAAUGCCCAAUGACAUCCCACGAAGGCAUCCGAAUGGGAUUAAAGAUUUAUCGGUGAUGGAUGGGGAUGCGUCUGAUUAGCUUGUUGGCGGGGUGACGGCCCACCAAGGCAACGAUCAGUAGGGGUUCUGAGAGGAAGGUCCCCCACAUUGGAACUGAGACACGGUCCAAACUCCUACGGGAGGCAGCAGUGAGGAAUAUUGGUCAAUGGGCGAGAGCCUGAACCAGCCAAGUAGCGUGCAGGAUGACGGCCCUAUGGGUUGUAAACUGCUUUUAUAAGGGAAUAAAGUGGGUCACGUGUGACUUUUUGCAUGUACCUUAUGAAUAAGGACCGGCUAAUUCCGUG